CACUCUGAUUGGUCGGUCUGUUGUAAAACACGGCCGUCAGACUAGAUAAAAAGGGUGAAGGCACGGGACUGUGUGUGUGUUUUCGGUCAUAAGGAAAACCUGACCCACAUCCCCUGAAACAAAGGGACGUGCACUUCUCGACUGUCUGUAUCUGGCCAGUGUGGAAAGCGGCCGACUGAAGGGUAACGUAUUUUUGGACGAAUACACAACUAAAGACGCCAGAAGAUUUCACAG
This is a long non-coding RNA of Chelonia mydas (Green sea turtle), 234 nucleotides long. RefSeq lists it as uncharacterized. The transcript is spliced from 4 exons. NCBI's taxonomy places the organism in Eukaryota, Metazoa, Chordata, Testudines, Cheloniidae. The record is from RefSeq and is a predicted model, not a curated record.